This 277-nucleotide ribosomal RNA is filed under the name uncultured prokaryote. RNAcentral describes it as "partial 16S ribosomal RNA". It matches the Rfam family "Bacterial small subunit ribosomal RNA", at positions 524 to 801 of the family's 1533-position model. The record is from RNAcentral.
UACGUAGGGGCAAGCGUUAUCCGGAUUUACUGGGUGUAAAGGGAGCGCAGACGGCAGUGCAAGUCUGAUGUGAAAGCCCGGGGCUCAACCCCGGAACUGCAUUGGAAACUGUACAGCUUGAGUGUCGGAGAGGUAAGCGGAAUUCCUAGUGUAGCGGUGAAAUGCGUAGAUAUUAGGAGGAACACCGGUGGCGAAGGCGGCUUACUGGACGAUAACUGACGUUGAGGCUCGAAAGCGUGGGGAGCAAACAGGAUUAGAUACCCCGGUAGUCCCUGAG